GAUGAACGCUAGCGGCAGGCCUAACACAUGCAAGUCGAGGGGCAGCAUAAUUAAUAUUUCGGUAUUAAUUGAUGGCGACCGGCGCACGGGUGCGUAACGCGUAUGCAACCUACCUUUAACAGGGGUAUAAUCCGAAGAAAUUUGGUCUAAUCCCCCAUAAUACUAUGAGCGGCAUCGUAAGUAGUUGAAAUAUUUUAUAGGUUAAAGAUGGGCAUGCGUGACAUUAGCUAGAUGGUUGAGGUAACGGCUCACCAUGGCAACGAUGUCUAGGGGAACUGAGAGGUUAAUCCCCCACACUGGUACUGAGACACGGACCAGACUCCUACGGGAGGCAGCAGUGAGGAAUAUUGGUCAAUGGACGGAAGUCUGAACCAGCCAUGCCGCGUGCAGGAUGACGGCUCUAUGAGUUGUAAACUGCUUUUGUAAGAGAGUAAAGUAUGGUACGUGUACCAUUUUGCAAGUAUCUUACGAAUAAGGAUCGGCUAACUCCGUGCCAGCAGCCGCGGUAAUACGGAGGAUCCGAGCGUUAUCCGGAUUUAUUGGGUUUAAAGGGUGCGUAGGUUGCAUAAUAAGUCAGUGGUUAAAUACGAUAGCUCAACUAUCGCGGUGCCAUUGAAACUGUUAAGCUAGAGAUUGGUUGCAGCAGGCGGAAUGUGUAGUGUAGCGGUGAAAUGCUUAGAUAUUACACAGAACACCGAUUGCGAAGGCAGCUUGCUAAGCCAUAUCUGACACUGAUGCACGAAAGCGU
Molecule: ribosomal RNA, 748 nt
Filed under: uncultured bacterium
Lineage: Bacteria
Description: bacterial SSU rRNA
Rfam family: Bacterial small subunit ribosomal RNA
Source: RNAcentral